AUUGAACGCUGGCGGCAGGCCUAACACAUGCAAGUCGGACGGUAGCACAGAGGAGCUUGCUCCUUGGGUGACGAGUGGCGGACGGGUGAGUAAUGUCUGGGAUCUGCCCGAUAGAGGGGGAUAACCACUGGAAACGGUGGCUAAUACCGCAUAACGUCGCAAGACCAAAGAGGGGGACCUUCGGGCCUCUCACUAUCGGAUGAACCCAGAUGGGAUUAGCUAGUAGGCGGGGUAAUGGCCCACCUAGGCGACGAUCCCUAGCUGGUCUGAGAGGAUGACCAGCCAAACUGGAACUGAGACACGGUCCAGACUCCUACGGGAGGCAGCAGUGGGGAAUAUUGCACAAUGGGCGCAAGCCUGAUGCAGCCAUGCCGCGUGUAUGAAGAAGGCCUUCGGGUUGUAAAGUACUUUCAGCGGGGAGGAAGGCGGCACGGUUAAUAACCGUGCCGAUUGACGUUACCCGCAGAAGAAGCACCGGCUAACUCCGUGCCAGCCGCCGCGGUAA
Molecule: ribosomal RNA, 505 nt
Filed under: uncultured bacterium
Lineage: Bacteria
Description: partial 16S ribosomal RNA
Rfam family: Bacterial small subunit ribosomal RNA
Source: RNAcentral